This is a long non-coding RNA of Dermochelys coriacea (leatherback sea turtle), 2346 nucleotides long. RefSeq lists it as uncharacterized. The record is from RefSeq and is a predicted model, not a curated record. The transcript is spliced from 3 exons. Lineage: Eukaryota; Metazoa; Chordata; Testudines; Dermochelyidae.
GCACUUGCCCGGGCCCAGCACUGACCGGGGGCCCGAGGCUAUGGGAUGGGCGCCCUCAGGGGGAAUCCGCGCUCGCGGCCCCGCACUGCGGGGCAGAAACUUUACAGAGCCACAGCUCGGCUGGCAAGGAGAGGGAAGCAACACUGAUGAAUGGACAAGAUGGAUAUCAGCUUUCCUUGCGGUAAACACAUGCUGUUAAAAAUAGUGCCAAGGACACCGGGAGCAGGCGUUGAUGUAGCAAAACAGGCCUGGGAAGGAGAGUGGAGAUUGAAGAGCAGAUCAGACAAGCUAUCAGAGCUCCACCCCCAUUGAUUCCAGCUGGAGAAAAAGGGCAUUUAGUUGGCCACGUGCAGAAGUCUCAGGAUGACUGGAGAAGGGAUGAAUACUGACAUUUUUCCUAAAAUAUUCCAUGGAGAUUUCCAGAGGCCUAAAGAACGUAAGUUCUCUGGCCUGCGCUAUGCAGAACAUCAGACCAGAUGAUCAGAACGAUCCCUUCUGACCUGAAAAAUCUCUGGGUGAAAACCUGGCCCCCAUUGAAUCAAUAGAAAAACUCCCAUUGACUUCAACCGUGCCAGGAUUUUACACUAGGAAUCCAUGAAAUAGCACUGACCCAGAUGAACGGCACCAAGCAACAUCUGUGUGGGAGUUGGUAUUGGAACCAGUAUUUAACGAGGAGCAUAACAUAAUCACAGAGGCCAGGCUCUGUACCCCUCUAGCCCACCUUCUCCUUUUGGGGCUUCUCCUGCCCCUGUUCAUCUUGAUGGACAUAUUGGAGCACCACUGAUGAAGACCCUAUAAUUGAACUACACUCGAUGGGGUGGAGAAUCCGCACUUGCCAAAGCCUUUCAGCACCAGGCCAGGGUAAAUGGAGUGACCUCUCCUGCCAUCCUCCGGGCAGAGCGUCUUUGUUAACCCCAUUCAAUUUGUCCCACAUACUGUGUGCCAGAACUUUAUGUCCCCACAAUGACCUUUACCUGCUACGGGGUCCCAUGUCUGGACUAGAGCCCCAGCCCUGAACCCAGCUGCAACAAGGGAAGUUGACAUUUUCAGAGGCAGAUCACCAAACCAGAGAUGCUGACCCCAAGCCGCCCAGAUGCAAGCGUCCCACUUCUCAGGGCAGGGAGUGAUCUCUUUUCUCUCUGUGCUGUUACAGCAGUCUGGGCCAAGGGCAGUCGUGCAAGGUUAAUUUCAGCAGGGAGGGAAGCACUGUCCCUUAAAGUCAUAGACCUGAUUCAGCAAGGUACAUGAGCACAUGAGCAGCCCCAGUGACUCCAGUAGGGUUACAGUCUGGGCGACAAUGGGAGCAUUCAUGUGCUUAGCCAUGUACGUGCGUUCUGAGUUUGCACCAGAAGCAGCAAGUGCCUGGUGCAGGAAAGUGUUGAGUUUAAGAUGAAUAUUCUCCAACCUCCCAGAGAAUGUCAUGGGCUGGGUUUGGGGAAGGAGCACAGAGGUUAGAAAACCCCAGGUGGGCUGCAUACCCCUUGAACUUAGCACUCAGUCCCCAACCCCAAUGAGUCCGAGCAAUCAAGCACCCUCUUGAUGCAGCGUCCGGUUCCACAGCAGGGAAUAAUUAGUCCCUAGGCAAAGGCUGCAUGGAAUGUGCAUCCAUACCUUGCCAUAGAGUUGCCAUGUGGAAGUCUCUUAAGGUUCUGCAACACCUUCCUGAAAUGCUCUGAAAUCACAUGUGUUAGCCACUGGUGCUGGUCGGGACUGACACCGCCUGUGACCAUCAAUCCAUCCCAACGUCUCUCGUCUGCACUAUCUAUGACCUUGCCUUUCAGCAGAGUACAUGAGGCCGUGGUCUUUUCCCACCAACCCAGCCACCUCUCCUGUAACACUCUGCACUCCUUUCAUGCUGGGUAUUCCACUUAGGGCCUUAUUUUCAGAGGCACUAAGCACUCACACCUGGUUGUCCCAAGCUGGGAACCCAAAAACAGCGGUGGUCAGAAUCAGAGGACCUUUGUGAGAAUUUAGGCCUAAAUCUCCCUGAGGCCAACUCCAGCUCCUCUCUCUCCUGCUGAACUCAGACCUGCCCUUGGCCCCCAUUGUCUGACCCUGGCAUCACACCCUAACCUUGAACCCUCCUUCUCCUCCCAAUUCUCCACCUCCCUAUCUCUACCACUAUCCCAUUGCCCCAAAAUGUAGGUUGCAUUAUUCUCUCCAUUCCUUUCCCUUGAGUUAGGAUUUAACUCCAGAACUGGUUGUUGCAUGGGAAGAACUAAUCCCCGCUUUCCGCCCAAAGAUUGCCCUCUCUUCUCUGUCACCACUGGCUUUUCCACUAUACACUAUCCAGCAGACUCACAACCUUGGUGUCAUUUUUGACUCAUCUCCCCACUGCAUUGCAUC